RNAcentral lists this ribosomal RNA (199 nucleotides) under uncultured bacterium. RNAcentral's name for it is "partial 16S ribosomal RNA". It matches the Rfam family "Bacterial small subunit ribosomal RNA", at positions 1302 to 1500 of the family's 1533-position model. The record is from RNAcentral.
AGGCUGCAACUCGCCUACACGAAGUCGGAAUCGCUGUAAUCGCGGAUCAGCAUGCCGCGGUGAAUACGUUCCCGGGCCUUGUACACACCGCCCGUCACACCAUGGGAGUUUGUAACGCCCAAAGUCGGUGGCCUAACCUUUAUGGAGGGAGCCGCCUAAGGCGGGACAGAUGACUGGGGUGAAGUCGUAACAAGGUACC